CCUAGUAUAUAAAAAUAUUAACAUAUAUUUUAUAAAAUAAACAUACCACAAAAUACCAAUCAAUGUAAUUACAGCCGCACUUCUGUAAAAGCCUUUCAUAGGACAUACAGUAAGUGUAGAGUUGAAUUUGAUGGUGUGGACUGGUGGAGCUGAACAGGUGUGCUGCCCAACAUUGCAACUGCAAUAUUUGCUGAAACGGAUAAUUUUCAACAGCUGACACAAUCAUCCGAAAGCUGAAGUCAUACAUUGAAACCCCCAGCAUCAAAAAUUGAAGAACAAGAACUUGUUAAUGUGAACCAUCAAAGUUGCCUAACACAACUGAUUACCAUACUGUUAAUGUAGACAUUUGAUGUAUAGAAGAAUUUAAAUUACAAUAAAAAACAAACUCAAGAACA
Zootermopsis nevadensis is the source of this 395-nucleotide non-coding RNA. The record is from RefSeq and is a predicted model, not a curated record. Lineage: Eukaryota; Metazoa; Arthropoda; Insecta; Blattodea; Termopsidae.